Molecule: ribosomal RNA, 322 nt
Filed under: Saccharomyces cerevisiae (brewer's yeast)
Lineage: Eukaryota; Fungi; Ascomycota; Saccharomycetes; Saccharomycetales; Saccharomycetaceae
Description: eukaryotic LSU rRNA
Rfam family: Eukaryotic large subunit ribosomal RNA
Source: RNAcentral
GUUCCUUGUCUAUGUUCCUUGGAACAGGACGUCAUAGAGGGUGAGAAUCCCGUGUGGCGAGGAGUGCGGUUCUUUGUAAAGUGCCUUCGAAGAGUCGAGUUGUUUGGGAAUGCAGCUCUAAGUGGGUGGUAAAUUCCAUCUAAAGCUAAAUAUUGGCGAGAGACCGAUAGCGAACAAGUACAGUGAUGGAAAGAUGAAAAGAACUUUGAAAAGAGAGUGAAAAAGUACGUGAAAUUGUUGAAAGGGAAGGGCAUUUGAUCAGACAUGGUGUUUUGUGCCCUCUGCUCCUUGUGGGUAGGGGAAUCUCGCAUUUCACUGGGCC